ACCAUGGAGGGGUGCUUCUUACUGGCUUGCUC
This 32-nucleotide non-coding RNA is filed under the name Mus musculus (house mouse). The record is from RNAcentral. Lineage: Eukaryota; Metazoa; Chordata; Mammalia; Rodentia; Muridae.